RNAcentral lists this ribosomal RNA (443 nucleotides) under uncultured bacterium. RNAcentral's name for it is "partial 16S ribosomal RNA". It matches the Rfam family "Bacterial small subunit ribosomal RNA", at positions 338 to 795 of the family's 1533-position model. The record is from RNAcentral.
CCUACGGGAGGCAGCAGUGGGGAAUAUUGGGCAAUGGAGGAAACUCUGACCCAGCAACGCCGCGUGAAUGAUGAAGGUCUUCGGAUUGUAAAGUUCUUUUCUAAGGGAAGAAGAAAGUGACGGUACCUUAGGAAUAAGCCUCGGCUAACUACGUGCCAGCAGCCGCGGUAAUACGUAGGAGGCGAGCGUUAGCCGGAAUGACUGGGCUGAAAGGGUGCGUAGGUGGUUUGGCAAGUUAGUAGCGUAACUCCUGGGCUCAACCUUGGAACUACUACUAAAACUGUUGGACUUGAGUGCAGGAGAGGCAGACGGAAUGCCUAGUGUAGCGGUGGAAUGCGUAGAUAUUAGGAGGAACACCAGUGGCGAAGGCGGGUUGCUAGACUGUAACUGACACUGAGGCACGAAAGCGUGGGGAGCAAACAGGAUUAGAUACCCUUGUAGUC